GCGGCGUCCACCACUUAGACGCGAGUUGUUGAAGCCGGCGGGGGAGAAGGCGUUGUUGCCGGAGCUGAGACCGGGCGGCCACAGUCCGCAGGGAUGAACCUCGAGUUGCUGGGAAGCUGAUGGAACUUUGGAUUGUAUCAGCAUGGCUUUGACUUGCACCUUUAACAGGUGGGGCACACUGCUUGCAGUUGGCUGUAAUGAUGGCCGAAUUGUCAUCUGGGAUUUCUUGACAAGAGGCAUUGCUAAAAUAAUUAGUGCACACAUCCAUCCAGUGUGUUCUUUAUGCUGGAGCCGAGAUGGUCAUAAACUCGUGAGUGCUUCCACUGAUAACAUAGUGUCACAGUGGGAUGUUCUUUCAGGCGACUGU
Molecule: small RNA, 367 nt
Filed under: Pongo abelii (Sumatran orangutan)
Lineage: Eukaryota; Metazoa; Chordata; Mammalia; Primates; Hominidae
Description: processed transcript
Source: RNAcentral